This 84-nucleotide transfer RNA is filed under the name Stagnimonas sp. RNAcentral describes it as "tRNA-Cys". It matches the Rfam family "tRNA". Rfam says of the family: Transfer RNA (tRNA) molecules are approximately 80 nucleotides in length. Their secondary structure includes four short double-helical elements and three loops (D, anti-codon, and T loops). The record is from RNAcentral. Lineage: Bacteria; Pseudomonadati; Pseudomonadota; Gammaproteobacteria; Nevskiales; Nevskiaceae.
GCACGAAUAGCCAAGUGGUCGAAGGCACCUGAUUGCAAACCAGGCGAGAAAUCCUCAGCGGUUCGAAUCCGUUUUCGUGCUCCA